Lycium barbarum (goji berry) is the source of this 1415-nucleotide long non-coding RNA. RefSeq lists it as uncharacterized. Lineage: Eukaryota; Viridiplantae; Streptophyta; Magnoliopsida; Solanales; Solanaceae. The transcript has 3 exons. The record is from RefSeq and is a predicted model, not a curated record.
UCCAGUGAAGUUGCUUAUCAAGCAUCUUUUACUCAUAUCUGUGCAUAUUUUGUUCAUGUUUUAGAAUAGCUUAGUAGAUUAUUUUUGACUAAUCCACAAAUUUUUAGAAUUUUUAGAGUUGUUUUGAGCAGGUCGAGUUUUCAGAGUAGCCCCAAACCAGUAGUUGCUGCUGAAAAAAAAAUCAGGUGACAUCACUUGCGAACCGCAUGUCAUGCCUGCGAGUCGCAGGAUAAGAUGUCCGGAGAGCAUAACAGAGCAAAAUGGACCAAAAUGGAGCAAAAUAGAGCAAAACAAGCCAAAAUAGAAGAAGCGUGACCUGCGAGUCGCAGGUCACACAUGCGAGCCGCAUGUUCUGCAACAAGUUUGUACAGAGAUUUGGAAAUCUGAAGAAAUAGGAUGCAGCAUCUGCAAGCAUCACCUGCGAGACGCAGGUACCACCUGCGAGACGCAUUCAUGACUGUAUGUGCUUCAAGUCAUCUCUGUACAUUGCAAGACCUGCCAGAGUUUUGCACAACCUGCUAAUUGCAGGUUGAACAUGCGAUACAACAUGCGAGACGCACGUUGUGCACGCAGGGUAUUUUGUCCAGAUUUUGUUCCCGUUUUUGGAAUGUUAUAAAUACUCUUUUAGGGUUUGUAAAACAUAUCUUUGGCCAUUUUCAUACAAGUUUUGGAGAUUAGGUUCCUACACCACACUUUGGGGUUGAAGAUUUGAAGAUUUGGUUGAGCAUUUCUGUUAUAUCCCGUAUUUUUAUACGUCGAGUUAUUCGCAAGAGAAUCGACUCAAGUUAAAGACGGGAUCAUUUUCGGGCACGAAACAGAAAAUCUUUAAUUUCCGGUCUCUAUUAGAAAAUGAAUUGUUUAUGAAUUUUACUUAGUGUAAAAAUAUUAAUGAAAAGUUGGGAUUAAUUACCAUGAUUAGAUUAUUAAGUGAGGAUUAAAAAUUUAAUUAUUCAUUAAACAAGUCACUAGUGCACUAAGUGGGCCCCACCAAGACAUGUGGCCAAAUUUAAUUGGCUCAAGCCUUGAGUGGGAAACUUGUCACUCCUAGGGGCUGAAAAUAUAGUGAAAAAUCUGUGCCCAAACCCUCAUUUUCAUCUUCCACAAUAAGCUAGAGAGAGAGAAAAAAAACAAAAGCCAUGGCAUUCGGCCAUGGCUAGCAAAUUGGAGCUCAAAUUUGUUGAUCCAAAAUCAAAUUUUUCAAAGUAUUCCAACCAGUUAGGAAGGCUAUAAUAACGUGGAUUAGUCAUUUGGAGCAACAAGAACAAGUAUUAGUUUAUUUCACAACUUCUAGCCAAAUUAAGAAGCCAACUUGUUAAGGAUAAGUACUAUUGGGCAGCAAGUACAAGUUAUAAUACGACUAAACGCUAAAGGUAUGUAAAGCGCAAUCCUUCUUACUUUUGGCAUGCCUUAGUUUU